RNAcentral lists this ribosomal RNA (229 nucleotides) under uncultured bacterium. Its description in RNAcentral is "partial 16S ribosomal RNA". It matches the Rfam family "Bacterial small subunit ribosomal RNA", at positions 568 to 796 of the family's 1533-position model. The record is from RNAcentral.
UGCGUAGGUGGUUUUAUAUGUCGGAUGUGAAAGCCCAUGGCUCAACUGUGGAAUUGCAUUCGAAACUGUAGGACUAGAGUACAGGAGGGGAGAUCGGAAUUCUUGGUGUAGCGGUGAAAUGCGUUGAUAUCAAGAAGAACACCGGCGGCGAAGGCGGAUCUCUGGAAUGUUACUGACACUGAUGCACGAAAGCUGGGGGAGCAAACAGGAUUAGAUACCCUGGUAGUCC